This 397-nucleotide ribosomal RNA is filed under the name uncultured bacterium. RNAcentral describes it as "partial 16S ribosomal RNA". It matches the Rfam family "Bacterial small subunit ribosomal RNA", at positions 523 to 918 of the family's 1533-position model. The record is from RNAcentral.
AUACGUAGGGGACGAGCGUUAUCCGGAUUUACUGGGCGUAAAGGGCGUGUAGGCGGUCUUGCAAGUCAGAAGUGAAAUUCCUGAGCUCAACUCGGGCGCUGCUUCUGAAACUGCAGGACUUGAGUGCUGGAGGGGAUAGCGGAAUUCCUAGUGGAGCGGUAAAAUGCGCAGAUAUUAGGAAGAACACCGGUGGCGAAGGCGGCUAUCUGGACAGUAACUGACGCUGAGGCGCGAAAGCGUGGGGAGCAAACAGGAUUAGAUACCCUGGUAGUCCACACUGUAAACGAUGAAUGCUAGGUGUAGGGGGUAUCGACCCCUUCUGUGCCGCAGUCAACACAAUAAGCAUUCCGCCUGGGGAGUACGGCCGCAAGGUUGAAACUCAAAUGAAUUGGCGGGG